RNAcentral lists this ribosomal RNA (433 nucleotides) under uncultured bacterium. RNAcentral's name for it is "partial 16S ribosomal RNA". It matches the Rfam family "Bacterial small subunit ribosomal RNA", at positions 29 to 507 of the family's 1533-position model. The record is from RNAcentral.
AACGAACGCUGGCGGCAUGCCUAACACAUGCAAGUCGAACGAGACCUUCUGGUCUAGUGGCGCGCGGGUGCGUAACGCGUGGGAACCUGCCCUUAGGUUGGGAAUAACUCCCCGAAAGGGGUGCUAAUACCGGAUAAUGUCUUCGGACCAAAGAUGUAUCGCCUUUGGAUGGGCCCGCGUUGGAUUAGCUAGUUGGUAGGGUAAAAGCCUACCAAGGCGACGAGCCAUAGCUGGUCUGAGAGGAAGAUCAGCCACACUGGGACUGAGACACGGCACAGACUCAUACGGGAGGAAGCAGUGGGGAAUAUUGGAAAAUGGGCGAAAGCCUGAUCCAGCAAUGCCGCGUGAGUGAUGAAGGCCUUAGGGUUGUACAGCUCUUUUACCCGGGAUGAUAAUGACAGUACCGGGAGAAUAAGCACCGGCUAACUCCGUG